GGUGAGCCCCGGUGGGAGGACCCAGCCUGACCCCAGCAAGCUCUGCGCUUCUUCCUCCCUAACAUCUCUUGCCGAUCCUCACAACAAAAGUCCUUUUAAUCACCUGGGCAACGGUUCAUGGAACACUGAAUGUAAAAAGCCAAGACUUGAACCAAGGCCAUCUUCCUCCAGGUACCUCUAAAUAUAUGAUUUCCAGUGGACAAGGAUGUGGUUUUCAGCAGUUGUCUAUAUUCAGACAAAGAGUCAAAUUUGGGCAAUUCAGUAAAACCACUGGUUAGGAAAAGUGGAAGCAAAUUGCAUCAAUUCUACAGCCCAACAGAGGGAUGGGAAG
This 331-nucleotide long non-coding RNA is filed under the name Monodelphis domestica (gray short-tailed opossum). RNAcentral's name for it is "lncRNA (ENSMODG00000036762.1)". The record is from RNAcentral. Lineage: Eukaryota; Metazoa; Chordata; Mammalia; Didelphimorphia; Didelphidae.